UUCACAGGCUGUAUUUGCUUAUCAGCGUCAACGUCCCACAGAGUGGCUACUAGCUAGGUUGGUACACGUGCGUGUUCGGCUCUCUGGCAGUGGCACUUAACAGACACCAAGUUUGAGGUUGUGAUGUUCCAUUAUGUGGAGGACACUUGCCUGGCUGGGGAAGUGGACAUGAACAGAGUUCCCUUGACUCCCACGAUUGUUUUAUGUGAUGUUUCUUCUCUAUUAAUCCGGAGAAGGGGACGAAAGUGGAACAAACAAAAACAAAACGGCUCCAUGUGAAUCCAAGAGUCCUUACUUUGAUUCAGGACCUCUCAGACCAUGAAUGGCGAGCUAUUUAAAAAGAUGUUCCUUCAAGUGACUGCAACAGUGAACACCCAUAUGUUUCUCUAGAUGUUCUUCUAGAAGCAAUGCAGUUGCAUGUUAAUCUAAGCUUCUGUAACUUGGUUCAUGACCUUUUCAACCAUGAAUGGCGAGCUGUUUGAAAAGGUGUUCCUUCAAAGUGAUGGAGCCGAUGAACACCUAUAUCACCUUUUUUCGUGGCUCUAUAUUAACAAGGUUCACAUUUAUUCACUCACAAUUCCUCUCUCUCACAAACACAAGUGCAACCACACACACACACACACACUUUAAUGAUCUCUUUCUCAUUAUUUUUUCAACAAUAAAUUUGCAUUAUUGUGAAUU
Molecule: long non-coding RNA, 681 nt
Organism: Cyprinodon tularosa
Lineage: Eukaryota; Metazoa; Chordata; Actinopteri; Cyprinodontiformes; Cyprinodontidae
Exons: 5
Source: RefSeq, a predicted model, not a curated record